AUUACGUGACGGUGGAUCACUCGGCUUGUGCGUCGAUGAAGAACGCAGCUAGCUGCGAGAAUUAGUGUUCUUCAUCGACGCACGAGCCAGGUGAUCCACCGUUAACCUAAUUGAGUAAAAAAUGUUUCCCCUUCCCCACCCCUACUUUGCAUAUGCAAAUUAGGGUUU
This 168-nucleotide ribosomal RNA is filed under the name Xenopus laevis (African clawed frog). RNAcentral's name for it is "5.8S ribosomal RNA". It matches the Rfam family "5.8S ribosomal RNA". From Rfam's summary of the family: 5.8S ribosomal RNA (5.8S rRNA) is a component of the large subunit of the eukaryotic ribosome. It is transcribed by RNA polymerase I as part of the 45S precursor that also contains 18S and 28S rRNA. Functionally, it is thought that 5.8S rRNA may be involved in ribosome translocation. Lineage: Eukaryota; Metazoa; Chordata; Amphibia; Anura; Pipidae. The record is from Rfam by way of RNAcentral.